UAUAAAUAUAAUAGAAAUUAAUAUAUAUAACUUUCUUUUUUACAUUCUUAAUAUGUAUUUUUAUUUAAAAAAUGAAUUAAUUGAAUAUUUAAAGUCUGGUGCUCAAUCUACUACAUUUAAAAGUAAUUUAAGUUUCAUAAAAUGUAAUAUAUAUGUAAAUAUGUUACCAAAAGAUACAAAUUCAAAUAUGUCAGUUUUACCUUUUACAAGUCUUGAAAAAAACUCUAAUGACAAUUCAUAUAACGUAUGGCAAAAAUUAUGUCUAUUUUUUAGUUCUUAUGCAUUUCUGUUUGCAACUAUAUUUAAUGUUAUUAUGCAAUUAUAUGGACCAAUUAACAUAGUAAACGAGUUAACUAACUACCAAUACGAAUCGGAUAGUGAUGAAACAAAAGUAUAUACAUAUAAAUCUUUAGUCAAAGCUUAUGGAAAAUAUAACCUAAGAAUAAAUUCAAAUAACAGCAAAUCAUAUACAUCUUCUUUUUAUUCACACAAAACAAAAACAAACUUAGAAAAAUCUAAUAAUUAUAAUAUUUUUGGUGAAAGCCUUAUGUUGGAAAAAGAUUCGACGGUAACAUAUACAAAAACCGACAAAUUCAGAGAGCAAGAUAAUUAUCAUUUUAGUGGUCCUGUUCGAGGAAUGGAUAUCCAGAACUGGAGGUUAAACACAAUGGAUACAAUUUGCGAUAAAAAAUGUAGCCAUAAAUGUAGCAGUGCUAACGAAAACGUUAAAAAAAAAAAGUAUCCGUAUGCACAGCUAGAUACUGUGGCAAAAAGAAAGGAAUUUUUAAAAAACAAAACAGUUAGUUUUAAAAAUGUUAACAGGGGGAUUAGUAGUAGCAGCAGCAUCAGCAGCAGCUUUCGUAAAGGUAGUAGUAGUAGUAGUAGCAGAAACAGUGUUAGCAGAAACAGUGUUAGCAGGAACAGUGUUAGCAGAAACAGUGUUAGCAGAAACAGUGUUAGCAGAAACAGUAUUAGUCGGAGUGGAAAUCGUCGGAACGAUAAAAAAGCCAAACCAACAUAUUCUUCAGAAAAUGAAUUAACGACAAAAAAAACCGAUUCAUAUAAUAAAUGUGACAUGAAAAAAAUGAAUAAACAAAAAAGUAUAAUCCAAAUGAAUGGAAAAAAUACAAUUGAACAGAAUACAAAAUGUGUUACAAAUACAUUACCUUUGUCUUCUUGCCUGCGUUAUGAGACUGAGUUGGGUCCUAAGGCUGAACCUGGUCUUACUUCUGUCUCUUUUGUUAGUAGUUCUUUUUCAGAUGGCCAGUUUGACUAUGUUUCUUCUAGACAUAAUCAUUCAUCUAAUUAUAGUCAAAAUGAUAUUUCAAAAAGUUAUAAUAAAAAAAAACAAAAAAAUAAAAAGGUUUCAUGGCCAAGAAAUAGGAAGAGGGAUACUAUUUCUACUGUUAGUAGUAUUAGUAGUAUUAGUAGUGUCAGUAGUAUUAGUAUUAAAUCAUUUAUACCGGGUGGAAAAAGGAAAACGAUAUAUAAGGGUGAUGAUGUUCAUAGUAAUACAGUAGGAACUACUAAUAAUACAUAUAAUAAAACUAGCACUAUUAAUACACAUAAACAUUUGGAAAAACUUGGUGGUGAAAAAAAUUAUUUUAAACGAUUAUUUAAUAAAAAAAAAAAUUUAAAAAAAUUUGGAGUGUUUGCUUUGUUUUUUAUUAUCUUUAUAUUUAAUUUGUUACAUAUCUUAGAUUUUAAAAGAAGUAAUAAUAUAGUUAGUGAAAUAGUGUUAAACAAUUUAUACAGAAGUUAUUUAUUUUUUAUAAUAGCAACACCUAUUAUUUAUGUCGCUUGGUUUUUUGGGUCCAAAGAACAAAUGUCUCAGUGUGGAAUUAUAUCUACAUGUUUGCAUUUCUUGGCAUGGGUAGUUAUAUUUCCAUACAACAUUUUAAAUAACACAUUUGGAAGUCCAGUGUAUUCGUUCAUAAUUUUAUUGCUUUUUAAUAUACUUACUAUAGUCAUUGCUUUAAUUGAAAUUUAUAAAAAAAUGAGAUUUAGAAAAUUACAAGCACGUAAAUACCCGAGUAGUGUUAACAGGUUGAUAGGAAACAAACAUGGGCAUGAAUACCAAGACGAACAUAAAGACGAACAUAAAGACGAACAUAAAGACGAGCGCAUUUACGAAUCUAAAAAAAGUAAUAAUUCAAAAGAAGUUAACAUUAUUAAAACAAUCGAGAUGAGCAAUUCCAUAAAUGACGUUAACCAAAAAAUGAAUGUCGAUGACAAUGAUAGUGUCGAAAAUAUAGAAAAGUUAUAUAUAAAAUACAACAACAUAUUAAACAAAAAUAAUAACAUUAUAAUUUUUAAAAAAUGUGUGUACUGGUUAUAUGUAGGAAACAUAGAUAUCUUACGUAAAAAUAUAAAUGUAGCCAUGUCAGGAAAUGUAAAUGUAUAUAUUCCAUUUCUAUGGAAUAUUUUGUUUAAAUAUAUAAAUUCACCCACGUUAAUUAUAAUUUUUUUUUAUAAUACGGACAUAUAUUUUUUAAAAUUGACUGAGUAUCUUGAACCAUCUUUUAGUUUUAUAAUUGAAUUAGUUUCGGUUGUCCUUAUAAUUGUGUGUUGCUCGAUCACUCUGAUAAGCAACUUCUUCAAAUGUAAGCUGCGCAUGUGUAUAAUAUAUAUACGUAUAAUCCGUAUAUGAACACAAAGUCAUUUCCGCUCCACACUUCUGACUAUUUCUCUCCCUAUUACCUGUCAUCUACACAUUAUAUUCAUUAUCGAUUCGACACAUGUUUCUAUCAUUAAUUUAUCCAUUUAUCCAUUAAAUGAAUGACUUAUUAUUUGUAAUGUUUUGCUUAGUCCUGUUUGGUCUUACUUAGUC
Long non-coding RNA from Piliocolobus tephrosceles (Ugandan red Colobus), 2830 nucleotides. The record is from Ensembl. NCBI's taxonomy places the organism in Eukaryota, Metazoa, Chordata, Mammalia, Primates, Cercopithecidae.